CCUACGGGUGGCAGCAGUGGGGAAUAUUGGACAAUGGGGGGAACCCUGAUCCAGCCAUGCCGCGUGUGUGAAGAAGGCCCUCGGGUUGUAAAGCACUUUCAGUGAGGAAGAACGCCUGGUGGUUAAUACCCAUCAGGAAAGACAUCACUCACAGAAGAAGCACCGGCUAACUCCGUGCCAGCAGCCGCGGUAAUACGGAGGGUGCGAGCGUUAAUCGGAAUUACUGGGCGUAAAGCGCGCGUAGGUGGCUUGAUAAGCCGGUUGUGAAAGCCCCGGGCUCAACCUGGGAACGGCAUCCGGAACUGUCAAGCUAGAGUGCAGGAGAGGAAGGUAGAAGUCCCGGUGUAGCGGUGAAAUGCGUAGAGAUCGGGAGGAAGACCAGUGGCGAAGGCGGCCUUCGGGACUGACACUGACACUGAGGUGCGAAAGCGUGGGUAGCAAACAGGAUUAGAUACCCGUGUAGUC
RNAcentral lists this ribosomal RNA (465 nucleotides) under Vreelandella stevensii. RNAcentral's name for it is "partial 16S ribosomal RNA". It matches the Rfam family "Bacterial small subunit ribosomal RNA", at positions 338 to 795 of the family's 1533-position model. The record is from RNAcentral. Lineage: Bacteria; Pseudomonadati; Pseudomonadota; Gammaproteobacteria; Oceanospirillales; Halomonadaceae.